UUACAGCCAUAUCAUGUUGAAACACUGGUUCCCAUACAAUCACUGAAGUUAAGCAAUGUUGAGCCUGGUCAUUACCUAGAUGGGUGACCACUUGGGAAUACCAGAUGCUGUAAGC
Molecule: ribosomal RNA, 115 nt
Filed under: Acanthosepion pharaonis
Lineage: Eukaryota; Metazoa; Mollusca; Cephalopoda; Sepiida; Sepiidae
Source: RNAcentral